AGUGAACGCUGGCGGUAGGCCUAACACAUGCAAGUCGAACGGCAGCACAGUAAGAGCUUGCUCUUACGGGUGGCGAGUGGCGGACGGGUGAGGAAUACAUCGGAAUCUACUUUUUCGUGGGGGAUAACGUAGGGAAACUUACGCUAAUACCGCAUACGACCUACGGGUGAAAGCAGGGGAUCUUCGGACCUUGCGCGAUUGAAUGAGCCGAUGUCGGAUUAGCUAGUUGGCGGGGUAAAGGCCCACCAAGGCGACGAUCCGUAGCUGGUCUGAGAGGAUGAUCGGCCACACUGGAACUGAGACACGGUCCAGGCUCCUACGGGAGGCAGCAGUGGGGAAUAUUCGACAAAGGGCGCAAGCCUGAUCCAGCCAUACCGCGUGGGUGAAGAAGGCCUUCGGGUUGUAAAGCCCUUUUGUUGGGAAAGAAAAGCAGCAGGUUAAUACCCCGCUGUUCUGACGGUACCCAAAGAAUAAGCACCGGCUAACUUCGUG
This 492-nucleotide ribosomal RNA is filed under the name uncultured bacterium. Its description in RNAcentral is "partial 16S ribosomal RNA". It matches the Rfam family "Bacterial small subunit ribosomal RNA", at positions 29 to 507 of the family's 1533-position model. The record is from RNAcentral.